UCCCAUCCUCCCUGCCAUCCUCCUGCCCAUCCUCCCACCCUCCCUCCCAUCCUCACCUGCAGGAAAACCGGGAUGGUCCCCGAGGGUCAGAGGCACGUUUUUGGCAAAUGUUGAGUUUUAGGGUUGGGAACUGGAUCCCUGUUUGAUAAUCUGGGAGGACAGGAGUGGGAAGGGUGCCAGGCCCAGGGCAGGAUCAGGGGGCAGCUGCUGCUCCCCAGCUCUGGGUUCCUCCCCAGCCAGACCCAAGUGGAGCUCAUCCCUGCAGUCCAGGAGCUCAUCCCUGCAGUCCAGGAGCUCAUCCCUGCAGUCCAGGAGCUCAUCCCUGCAGUCCAGGAGCUCAUCCCUGCAGUCCAGGGGCUGCUCCCUCUCCAUGCAGGCAGAGGCCCAAGCACUGUGCUGUAAGUCCCCUUUUCCUUGAAAUUCCCCCUCUUUGUGCUGCUUUUCCCACACCCAGAGAUCCCCUUGGGCAGAGGGGGAGGGACAACCUCGGGGUUGUGCCUGAGGGGAUUGUUCUCCAGGAGAGCAGGGAUGGUGGAAUUCUUCCCCAGGGACUGUGUUUGAGACACCGAAUGCUCUGCUGAGAAACAGCUCCUCGGUUGAUGGUUUUUCACCAUUUUCUACCGCUCACGUUGGGUUUUCCAUGACAUAGGAAACUUCAGGAACCAGGAAGGGCAGUUUGGGCCCAACCAACUCAUUUUUGACUGAGCUGAAACCCCUCCCAGCAUUUCUGAAAGGAAAAGAAUAAUGAAACAAUGCUUUUUAAACAUUUUCUCUAUAAUAUUUAUACCCACCCCUCUUACCCUCUAGAAGAAAAAGCCAAUUAUGAGAGUGAGUUUUGAAUUUCCACUGCUGAUUUAAAUUGUUGUGUUUCCUGUGCCUGGUCCACCCUGGGGGUUCUGUGCAUUCCACAUCACAUAUGCAACCUGCAUUUCUGUUGUGCCACUAUUUUAUGGUCAGGCCUGUUAUUAAAUGAUUUUUAAAUGCUUAAAAAAACAAAACAAAACAAAACAAACAAACAAAAAAAAAAUCUUGGUAAAUCAAUUGUAUUCCAGUUUUGCAAAAUGAUUUUCUUCUCAAUAAAUUUACAGUAUUAGGCUGCUAUUCAGAAUUCUAACA
This is a long non-coding RNA of Pipra filicauda (Wire-tailed manakin), 1116 nucleotides long. RefSeq lists it as uncharacterized. NCBI's taxonomy places the organism in Eukaryota, Metazoa, Chordata, Aves, Passeriformes, Pipridae. The record is from RefSeq and is a predicted model, not a curated record. The transcript is spliced from 2 exons.